UAAACAAUCACAAGCAUUUCCUCUUAAGGAGGACUUCAGACAGGUGCCUGGCCAAGUAACAAGCCAGGUCUUCCAGACUACAUGGAGAAGAGACAUUAUACCUCAAUGCUCAAGCUAUCAAGUAACAGUAAAAGCAAGAGCAAGUUCACAAUGAACUAUAGCAACUAAGGUAUCUGAAAACAAUCCAACACAGUCAAUACACAACUCAAAAGGUCAAACAGACAGACUAAAAGUCAAC
This 238-nucleotide long non-coding RNA is filed under the name Lathyrus oleraceus (garden pea). RNAcentral describes it as "Pisum sativum (pea) long non-coding RNA (PSAT_LNC017820)". Lineage: Eukaryota; Viridiplantae; Streptophyta; Magnoliopsida; Fabales; Fabaceae. The record is from RNAcentral.